RNAcentral lists this long non-coding RNA (1234 nucleotides) under Crocodylus porosus (Australian saltwater crocodile). Its description in RNAcentral is "lncRNA (ENSCPRG00005009041.1)". Lineage: Eukaryota; Metazoa; Chordata; Crocodylia; Crocodylidae. The record is from RNAcentral.
GGCCCAGUUCCCUCAGCCUCUCCUCGGAAGCCAUGUGCCCUUCUUCUUCCCGGGGAGGCUGCUCAGCCCGCUCCGCUGUGUGCUUCAUCCCAGAUCCUUGCAGCUCCCCCUCUCCUGAAUAAAAGUUGCCAGCGGCCCGAGCCUGGGGGAGGGCGAAGGGAGCUCGCUCCCAGCCCUGCCCCGGGUGCCUCCCCCGCCUGCUGCUGCUGCUGCUGUAGUAGUGGAGGCAGGAGCGGGGUUUCCUGUUGACACCGGAAUGCGGUGAGCGGCGGGGACGGCGAACGCCACCUUCUCGGACUCCCUCUCCCCUGCCGCCCUGCGCCGCUGCCCGCCGGAGCAGGGAGAAAGGGCCCGGCGGGACUGCAACUUGGGAGGCAAGCGGCGGCGGGAGCAAGCAGGCCGGGGAAGGGGAGGCUGCCCCCGGGGAGGCUGCAGGUGCCGCUGGGCCGGCCGGGGGCUCUCGGGGCAUGGGGGCGCCUGCCGCGUGAGCGCCCCGGCCGUGCCCCUCGCCCAUGGCUGAAGCCUGGAGGCUGGAAGAAGACGAGGAGGAGCUCGGCAGGAGGCACAGGAGGGGCAACUCGGGCUCGGUAUCAGAUCGCUCUGAAAGACAUAAACCAGACUACCGCUCUUCAGGCCAAGGACCCCUGUCAUCUAUUAAGGCAGCAAUCAAGAGAAGUAAGUCUUUUGUCUACUGUUGGUUAUAUUUUCCAAACUGUUGGGUUUUUGUUUUUUUUGGUUUUUUCCUCAAAAUGGAUCAUCUCUUUUGUUUGCUCAUGAGCUUUUUCUUGUUGCACAACACUAACAUUUUUCUUGUGUACAUUAGUGCUGAACUGGAUGUGUCGGAGGGUCUGAAGAACAUAGGUUGAAGUUUCCCAGUUUAAACUUUGUCAUACAGGGGUUCAUCUUGUACUCAGUGAAGUCAGUAGCAGAACUUCCAUUGACCUCAGUGGUAGCAAGAUAGGGCCCAUGCACAUGACUUCAUUUUGGAGUAGAAAUUCUGUUUUGUAAGUCUUGGAUGAAUGUCCUGUUCGUUCCAUUUAUGUAGUUUGUAAUCACCUCUUCCCCAUAUUUCUUGACAGAUAUUUACUUCAUCCAGACUUUCAAAACCCUGACUUCCUCUAUUUGUAUUUCUUGUUUGUUGCCCGUUAUCCAAGAGUGGAAUUUUGUAAAGAUUCAUGGUGUAAAUACUAAUGUAGAAUCAUAGAGAAGUAGGGCUGGAAGCAGUGGCGAUGCG